Molecule: ribosomal RNA, 162 nt
Filed under: Picea mariana
Lineage: Eukaryota; Viridiplantae; Streptophyta; Pinopsida; Pinales; Pinaceae
Description: 5.8S ribosomal RNA
Rfam family: 5.8S ribosomal RNA
About the family: 5.8S ribosomal RNA (5.8S rRNA) is a component of the large subunit of the eukaryotic ribosome. It is transcribed by RNA polymerase I as part of the 45S precursor that also contains 18S and 28S rRNA. Functionally, it is thought that 5.8S rRNA may be involved in ribosome translocation.
Source: RNAcentral
GAAAUGACUCUCGGCAACGGAUAUCUCGGCUCUUGUCACGAUGAAGAACGUAGCGAAAUGCGAUACUUAGUGUGAAUUGCAGAAUCCCGUGAAUCAUCGAGUUUUUGAACGCAAUUUGCGCCCGAGRCCUCGGUCGAGGGCACGUCUGUCUGGGCGUCGCAU